AACGAACGCUGGCGGCAUGCCUAACACAUGCAAGUCGAACGAGACCUUCGGGUCUAGUGGCGCACGGGUGCGUAACACGUGGGAAUUUGCCUCGGGGUAGUGGAAUAACUCAGGGAAACUUGAGCUAAUACCAUAUAAUGUCUUCGGACCAAAGAUUUAUCGCCCUGAGAUAAGCCCGCGUAGGAUUAGCUAGUUGGUGGGGUAAAGGCUCACCAAGGCGACGAUCCUUAGCUGGUCUGAGAGGAUGAUCAGCCACACUGGGACUGAGACACGGCCCAGACUCCUACGGGAGGGCAGCAGUGGGGAA
RNAcentral lists this ribosomal RNA (307 nucleotides) under uncultured bacterium. RNAcentral's name for it is "bacterial SSU rRNA". It matches the Rfam family "Bacterial small subunit ribosomal RNA", at positions 29 to 361 of the family's 1533-position model. The record is from RNAcentral.